Molecule: ribosomal RNA, 497 nt
Filed under: uncultured bacterium
Lineage: Bacteria
Description: partial 16S ribosomal RNA
Rfam family: Bacterial small subunit ribosomal RNA
Source: RNAcentral
GAUGAACGCUGGCGGCGUGCCUAAUACAUGCAAGUCGAGCGAACAGACGAGGAGCUUGCUCCUCUGACGUUAGCGGCGGACGGGUGAGUAACACGUGGAUAACCUACCUAUAAGACUGGGAUAACUUCGGGAAACCGGAGCUAAUACCGGAUAAUAUAUUGAACCGCAUGGUUCAAUAGUGAAAGACGGUUUUGCUGUCACUUAUAGAUUGAUCCGCGCCGCAUUAGCUAGUUGGUAAGGUAACGGCUUACCAAGGCAACGAUGCAUAGCCGACCUGAGAGGGUGAUCGGCCACACUGGAACUGAGACACGGUCCAGACUCCUACGGGAGGCAGCAGUAGGGAAUCUUCCGCAAUGGGCGAAAGCCUGACGGAGCAACGCCGCGUGAGUGAUGAAGGUCUUCGGAUCGUAAAACUCUGUUAUUAGGGAAGAACAAAUGUGUAAGUAACUAUGCACGUCUUGACGGUACCUAAUCAGAAAGCCACGGCUAACUACGUG